GGGCCGUUAGCUCAGUUGGUAGAGCAACUGACUUUUAAUCAGUGGGUCGCUGGUUCGAAUCCAGCACGGCUCA
Molecule: transfer RNA, 73 nt
Filed under: Actibacterium naphthalenivorans
Lineage: Bacteria; Pseudomonadati; Pseudomonadota; Alphaproteobacteria; Rhodobacterales; Roseobacteraceae
Rfam family: tRNA
About the family: Transfer RNA (tRNA) molecules are approximately 80 nucleotides in length. Their secondary structure includes four short double-helical elements and three loops (D, anti-codon, and T loops). Further hydrogen bonds mediate the characteristic L-shaped molecular structure. tRNAs have two regions of fundamental functional importance: the anti-codon, which is responsible for specific mRNA codon recognition, and the 3' end, to which the tRNAs corresponding amino acid is attached (by aminoacyl-tRNA synthetases). tRNAs cope with the degeneracy of the genetic code in two manners: having more than one tRNA (with a specific anti-codon) for a particular amino acid; and 'wobble' base-pairing, i.e. permitting non-standard base-pairing at the 3rd anti-codon position.
Source: Rfam by way of RNAcentral